UUGUUGACCUGAGAACCUCCGUUAGAGCUUGGUGUGGAAGGGACAGAGGAGCUAAUAGCACCAGACGUGACAUUCUGUGUGUGUGAAGCUCAUAUGUGUGUGGCGUAGCAGCCAGCUCUUCUCUGAUUGGCUGGAUGCAGUGUGGCGGCCGGAUUCAUUUAAAUAAAGUUGAGAUCUGCUGAACUUUUUGCCGGAGGGUGGGGCUCCAUUCAACACAACGCAACCCAGCAUGCACCGCGGCAUGCAGCUGCUCUCUCUAUUGAAAUGAAUGGGAUGCGUCGGCACUUAAGUGCCAGUGGACGUGCACCGAUAUACAUAUAUUCUACAUAUAUACAUUAAUACAGUAGUCACCUAUUGUUUGUGUUAAAUACUUCUAUAUAAAAUAGUUAACAUGCUACGUCAUUUCACCCUUAGACCCCAAUACCUAAUAAUACCAACACAUAUCUGUUUCUAUUUACAAAGCUGUCAAAAACAUGUUAUGACAACUGAUGUUUCUUAUAAUAAGUUUUAUAAAUGACAGUUUUUUGAAAGAUCAAAGUUGAUUGACAUGGUGCCAGACAAAUGUUUCCCUAAUAAAGGGCCCUAGUAUCUAAUAGUGUCAACAGUUUAUACCAUAUUUUGACUGCUUACAUAAACUCCUAAUAAUUACUUAAGUACUGCUUCAUAAAUAUAUGUUUAAAUGCUUGUACAUGUACUAUGCAGCGACUGUCUGUGUGGUGACGCUGUGUUCACCUACGGGGUCUUCUUCUUUCACUUUUACUGUCACUUCCUGUUCUAUGUGUUUGCGUGGCUGUAUUGUAUUUUUUGGAGGCAUUGAGCCGACCAUGGCGAGCAGCAGCGUGUAACCUUGUAGCGGUUUAGCCCCUCUCUGCCUUCCCGUAAGAAGCGAUGCCAGUACAGGCCAUUCAACAACGACGGUAUUUGUUUUUUACUGUAAUGCUCAAAUAGAUUUUUAAUCUAUUCUUACAGUAAUUGUUAGAGCAUACAAAAUAAUUCUAACAUUAUAUGCACUUAUUUAUCACUUCUGUUUGUUUAGAUGCCGAUUCAAACAAUCCCACAAGGUAUAUUUUCCUAGUUUUCUUAUGUAAGAACAUUUAUUUACCAGUUUUAGUUUUUGUUUUACUACUUUGCACAUCUUCUCUCAGUUCUCAUUCAGACA
This 1159-nucleotide long non-coding RNA is filed under the name Astyanax mexicanus (Mexican tetra). RNAcentral describes it as "lncRNA (ENSAMXG00005013145.1)". The record is from RNAcentral. Lineage: Eukaryota; Metazoa; Chordata; Actinopteri; Characiformes; Acestrorhamphidae.